RNAcentral lists this ribosomal RNA (483 nucleotides) under uncultured bacterium. Its description in RNAcentral is "partial 16S ribosomal RNA". It matches the Rfam family "Bacterial small subunit ribosomal RNA", at positions 28 to 507 of the family's 1533-position model. The record is from RNAcentral.
GACGAACGCUGGCGGCGUGCUUAACACAUGCAAGUCGAACGCUGAAGCUCAGCUUUUGUUGGGUGGAUGAGUGGCGAACGGGUGAGUAACACGUGAGUAACCUGCCUCCUCCUUUGGGAUAACGCCCGGAAACGGGUGCUAAUACUGGAUAUUCACUGGUCUUCGCAUGGGGGUUGGUGGAAGGGGUUUUUCUGGUGGGGGAUGGGCUCGCGGCCUAUCAGCUUGUUGGUGGGGUGAUGGCCUACCAAGGCUUUGACGGGUAGCCGGCCUGAGAGGGUGACCGGUCACAUUGGGACUGAGAUACGGCCCAGACUCCUACGGGAGGCAGAAGUGGGGAAUAUUGCACAAUGGGCGCAAGCCUGAUGCAGCGACGCCGCGUGAGGGAUGGAGGCCUUCGGGUUGUGAACCUCUUUCGCUCAUGGUCAAGCCGCAACAAUGGUUGUGGUGAGGGUAGUGGGUAAAGAAGCGCCGGCUAACUACGUG